CACACUUUCAUCUUCAUUCAAAGAAGCCCACAUGGCCCUGAUUUAAUUUGCUUAGUUACAUCCUCCAUUGUUUCUCCUGAUGUGUCAUCCUCGGCGGAUGGCGCUGUCACCGUCAAAGCUCGCCGCCCCGGUGGGUCGGGACCUAGCGAGCGCUGCGCCUCAUUGUCUGUCCUCACCUUUGUGUCUUUGUGUAGCGUCGAUCUGGUGGGUCGCUCAGAUGUGACCCGCUCUGGCUCGUCAGGGGAAACGCUGCUCAACAAACGCAGUUCCCACAGGAAGUGGAGAGGGGACAAAAAAGAUAGAGGGGAAGCGUGUCAAACAAGGAGAGAUUCAGGUGGUGAAGCGUUGCUCUGCAAACUGAAGUUAACAAGUGCAGCUCAAACUAGGCCAAAGACAGCCACUCUCCAGUGAAGUGAGUUUUGUCCUGAGCCUUCUUGUUUUGAGGAUCUGUACUGGGGCCUCGAUCUUCACACCCAUCAGCUCUGAUAUGCUGACAAUCCCCUCAUUAAUUUGAACGGUGCAGCCGGGUUUGAAAGGCGAGAACCCUUCAGCCAUUUCCCUAAUGGUCUGCGAGCCGGCUGACCGGGGCACAGCCGAGCGCUCGCCUUUGCGGCGGCAGCGGUUGUGAUGGCUGGGUUGCAGCUGGGAUGGUGUUAGAGGUCCUUUCAGUGUGAGCUGAGCAGCCAUGAUGGCUAACCACCACACCAGAGGCCUCCUUUGUUUCUCUUUUCCC
Molecule: long non-coding RNA, 733 nt
Filed under: Oreochromis niloticus (Nile tilapia)
Lineage: Eukaryota; Metazoa; Chordata; Actinopteri; Cichliformes; Cichlidae
Description: lncRNA (ENSONIG00000026013.2)
Source: RNAcentral